RNAcentral lists this ribosomal RNA (433 nucleotides) under uncultured bacterium. RNAcentral describes it as "partial 16S ribosomal RNA". It matches the Rfam family "Bacterial small subunit ribosomal RNA", at positions 29 to 507 of the family's 1533-position model. The record is from RNAcentral.
AACGAACGCUGGCGGCAUGCCUAACACAUGCAAGUCGAACGAGACCUUCGGGUCUGGUGGCGCACGGGUGCGUAACGCGUGGGAACCUGCCCUUAGGUUCGGAAUCACUCCCCGAAAGGGGUGCUAAUACCGGAUAAUUUCUUCGGACCAAAGAUUUAUCGCCUUUGGAUGGGCCCGCGUUUGAUUAGCUAGUUGGUAGGGUAAAAGCCUACCAAGGCGACGAUCCAUAGCUGGUCUGAGAGGAGGAUCAGCCACACUGGGACUGAGACACGGCCCAGACUCCUACGGGAGGCAGCAGUGGGGAAUAUUGGACAAUGGGCGAAAGCCUGAGCCAGCAAUGCCGCGUGAGUGAUGAAGGCCUUAGGGUUGUAAAGCUCUUUUACCCGGGAUGAUAAUGACAGUACCGGGAGAAUAAGCUCCGGCUAACUCCGUG